Molecule: ribosomal RNA, 1506 nt
Filed under: uncultured bacterium
Lineage: Bacteria
Description: bacterial SSU rRNA
Rfam family: Bacterial small subunit ribosomal RNA
Source: RNAcentral
AGAGUUUGAUCCUGGCUCAGAACAAACGCUGGCGGCGUGCCUAAUACAUGCAAGUCGAACGAUGUAGCAAUACAGAGUGGCGCACGGGAGAGUAACACGUGGAUAAUCUUCCCUUUAGUGGGGAAUAACUCACCGAAAGGUGAGCUAAUUCCGCAUGAGACCACAACGUCUUCGGACGAAGGGGCUAAAGGUGGAACCUUCGGGUCUAUCGCUAAAGGAUGAGUCUGCGCUCGAUUAGCUAGUUGGCGGGGUAAUGGCCCACCAAGGCGACGAUCGAUAGCUGGUCUGAGAGGAUGACCAGCCUCACUGGAACUGAGACACGGUCCAGACUCCUACGGGAGGCAGCAGUAGGGAAUAUUGCACAAUGGGGGAAACCCUGAUGCAGCGACGCCGCGUGAGUGAUGAAGGCCUUCGGGUCGUAAAGCUCUGUUGUAUGGGAAGAAAUGUUCAUGGCUAAUAUCCAUGAAUUUUGACGGUACCAUAUUCAGAAAGGACCGGCUAACUUCGUGCCAGCAGCCGCGGUAAGACGAGGGGUCCUAGCGUUGUUCGGAAUCACUGGGCGUAAAGCGUAUGUAGGCGGGGCUUUUAAGUCAGGUGUGAAAUCCCAUGGCUCAACCCAUGGAAUUGCAUUUGAAACUGGAAGUCUUGAAUGUGGGAGAGAUUGGUAGAAUACCUGGUGUAGUGGUGAAAUACGUAGAUAUCAGGUGGAAUACCGGUGGCGAAGGCGGCCAAUUGGCCCAACAUUGACGCUGAGAUACGAAAGCGUGGGGAUCAAACAGGAUUAGAUACCCUGGUAGUCCACGCCGUAAACGAUGAACACUUGGUGUUAGAGGUAUUGACCCCUCUAGUGCCGAAGCCAACGCGUUAAGUGUUCCGCCUGGGAAGUACGGUCGCAAGAUUAAAACUCAAAGAAAUUGACGGGGGCCCGCACAAGCGGUGGAGCAUGUGGUUCAAUUCGAUGCAACGCGAAAAACCUUACCUGGGUUUGAAGUGGUAGUGAAUGCGGUAGAGAUAUCGCAGGCCUUCGGGACACUAUCAUCAGGUGCUGCAUGGCUGUCGUCAGCUCGUGUCGUGAGAUGUCGGGUUAAGUCCCAUAACGAGCGCAACCCUUGUCUUUAGUUGCCAGCAUUCAGUUGGGCACUCUAAAGAGACUGCCGACGUUAAGUCGGAGGAAGGUGGGGAUGACGUCAAGUCCUCAUGGCCUUUAUGUCCAGGGCUACACACGUGCUACAAUGGUCGAUACAGAGGGUUGCGAUACUGCAAAGUGGAGCUAAUCCCAAAAAAUCGAUCUAAGUUCGGAUUGGAGUCUGCAACUCGACUCCAUGAAGUUGGAAUCGCUAGUAAUCGCGGAUCAGCAUGCCGCGGUGAAUACGUUCCCGGGCCUUGUACACACCGCCCGUCACACCAUGAAAGCUGUUUGUACCAGAAGUCGCUGUGCUAACCGUAAGGAGGCAGGCGCCCAAGGUAUGAAGAGUGAUUGGGGUGAAGUCGUAACAAGGUAACCGU